GACGAACGCUGGCGGCGUGCCUAACACAUGCAAGUCGAACGGAACUGUUUUGAAAGAUUUCUUCGGAAUGAAUUUGAUUUAGUUUAGUGGCGGACGGGUGAGUAACGCGUGAGUAACCUGCCUUCAAGAGGGGGAUAACAUUCUGAAAAGAAUGCUAAUACCGCAUGACAUAUCGGAACCACAUGAUUUUGAUAUCAAAGAUUUUAUCGCUUGAAGAUGGACUCGCGUCCGAUUAGUUAGUUGGUGAGGUAACGGCUCACCAAGACCGCGAUCGGUAGCCGGACUGAGAGGUUGAACGGCCACAUUGGGACUGAGACACGGCCCAGACUCCUACGGGAGGCAGCAGUGGGGGAUAUUGCGCAAUGGGGGCAACCCUGACGCAGCAACGCCGCGUGAAGGAUGAAGGUUUUCGGAUUGUAAACUUCUUUUAUUAAGGACGAAACUUGACGGUACUUAAUGAAUAAGCUCCGGCUAACUACGUGCCAGCAGCCGCGGUAAUACGUAGGGAGCAAGCGUUGUCCGGAUUUACUGGGUGUAAAGGGUGCGUAGGCGGCUUUGCAAGUCAGAUGUGAAAUCUAUGGGCUCAACCCAUAAACUGCAUUUGAAACUGUAGAGCCUGAGUGAAGUAGAGGCAGGCGGAAUUCCCCGUGUAGCGGUGAAAUGCGUAGAGAUGGGGAGGAACACCAGUGGCGAAGGCGGCCUGCUGGGCUUUAACUGACGCUGAGGCACGAAAGCGUGGGUAGCAAACAGGAUUAGAUACCCUGGUAGUCCACGCUGUA
Molecule: ribosomal RNA, 779 nt
Filed under: uncultured bacterium
Lineage: Bacteria
Description: bacterial SSU rRNA
Rfam family: Bacterial small subunit ribosomal RNA
Source: RNAcentral